GGGUAGAGUAAUGCGUGACCAACCUGCCCCAUGCUCCAGAAUAGCUCUUGGAAACGGGUGGUAAUGCUGGAUGCUCCAACUUGACGCAUGUCUUGUUGGGAAAGUGUUUAGUGGCAUGGGAUGGGGUCGCGUCCUAUCAGCUUGUAGGCGGGGUAAUGGCCCACCUAGGCUUCGACGGGUAGCCGGCCUGAGAGGGCGGACGGCCACAUUGGGACUGAGAUACGGACCAGACUCCUACGGGAGGCAGCAGCU
RNAcentral lists this ribosomal RNA (252 nucleotides) under uncultured Gardnerella sp. RNAcentral describes it as "partial 16S ribosomal RNA". It matches the Rfam family "Bacterial small subunit ribosomal RNA", at positions 100 to 355 of the family's 1533-position model. The record is from RNAcentral. Lineage: Bacteria; Bacillati; Actinomycetota; Actinomycetes; Bifidobacteriales; Bifidobacteriaceae.